UUAAGUCCCGCAACGAGCGCAACCCCUAUUGUUAGUUGCCAUCAUUCAGUUGGGCACUCUAGCGAGACUGCCGGUAAUAAACCGGAGGAAGGUGGGGAUGACGUCAAAUCAUCAUGCCCCUUAUGACCUGGGCUACACACGCGCUACAAUGGCUGGUACAACGAGUCGCAAGUCGGUGACGACAAGCUAAUCUCUUAAAGCCAGUCUCAGUUCGGAUUGUAGGCUGCAACUCGCCUACAUGAAGUCGGAAUCGCUAGUAAUCGCGGAUCAGCACGCCGCGGUCGAAUACGUUCCCGGGCCUU
This 302-nucleotide ribosomal RNA is filed under the name uncultured Streptococcus sp. RNAcentral describes it as "bacterial SSU rRNA". It matches the Rfam family "Bacterial small subunit ribosomal RNA", at positions 1080 to 1382 of the family's 1533-position model. The record is from RNAcentral. Lineage: Bacteria; Bacillati; Bacillota; Bacilli; Lactobacillales; Streptococcaceae.